UAGGGAAUCUUCCGCAAUGGGCGAAAGCCUGACGGAGCAACGCCGCGUGAGUGAUGAAGGUCUUCGGAUCGUAAAACUCUGUUAUUAGGGAAGAACAAAUGUGUAAGUAACUAUGCACGUCUUGACGGUACCUAAUCAGAAAGCCACGGCUAACUACGUGCCAGCAGCCGCGGUAAUACGUAGGUGGCAAGCGUUAUCCGGAAUUAGUGGGCGUAAAGCGCGCGUAGGCGGUUUUUUAAGUCUGAUGUGAAAGCCCACGGCUCAACCGUGGAGGGUCAUUGGAAACUGGAAAACUUGAGUGCAGAAGAGGAAAGUGGAAGUCCAUGUGUGGCGGUGAAAUGCGCAGAGAUAUGGAGGAACACCAGUGGCGAAGGCGACUUUCUGGUCUGUAACUGACGCUGAUGUGCGAAAGCGUGGGGAUCAAACAGG
RNAcentral lists this ribosomal RNA (429 nucleotides) under Actinomycetes bacterium. RNAcentral describes it as "Actinobacteria bacterium partial 16S ribosomal RNA". It matches the Rfam family "Bacterial small subunit ribosomal RNA", at positions 355 to 776 of the family's 1533-position model. Lineage: Bacteria; Bacillati; Actinomycetota; Actinomycetes. The record is from RNAcentral.